Small nucleolar RNA from Ornithorhynchus anatinus (platypus), 141 nucleotides. The record is from RefSeq and is a predicted model, not a curated record. Lineage: Eukaryota; Metazoa; Chordata; Mammalia; Monotremata; Ornithorhynchidae.
CCCCUCGCAGGAUGGCACCUGGAGAGUUUCCAGUCCUCUACCAAUCUCGGCUACGGGAGGGAGAGUCGUCAAGCAGAGACCUGUCCAUUCCAUUCCUAUCUUGGCCAGUGGCUAGUGAGUGGAAGGCAAUCUGCAACAAGA